CGGAGGAAAAGAAACCAACAGGGAUUGCCUUAGUAGCGGCGAGUGAAGCGGCAAAAGCUCAAAUUUGAAAUCUGGCGCCUUCGGUGUCCGAGUUGUAAUUUGAAGAUUGUAACCUUGGGGUUGGCUCUUGUCUAUGUUUCUUGGAACAGGACGUCACAGAGGGUGAGAAUCCCGUGCGAUGAGAUGCCCAAUUCUAUGUAAGGUGCUUUCGAAGAGUCGAGUUGUUUGGGAAUGCAGCUCUAAGUGGGUGGUAAAUUCCAUCUAAAGCUAAAUAUUGGCGAGAGACCGAUAGCGAACAAGUACAGUGAUGGAAAGAUGAAAAGAACUUUGAAAAGAGAGUGAAAAAGUACGUGAAAUUGUUGAAAGGGAAGGGUUUGAGAUCAGACUCGAUAUUUUGUGAGCCUUGCCUUCGUGGCGGGGUGACCCGCAGCUUAUCGGGCCAGCAUCGGUUUGGGCGGUAGGAUAAUGGCGUAGGAAUGUGACUUUACUUCGGUGAAGUGUUAUAGCCUGCGUUGAUGCUGCCUGCCUAGACCGAGGACUGCGAUUUUAUCAAGGAUGCUGGCAUAAUGAUCCCAAACCGCCCGUCUUGAAACACGGACCA
This 601-nucleotide ribosomal RNA is filed under the name Meyerozyma guilliermondii. RNAcentral describes it as "LSU rRNA". It matches the Rfam family "Eukaryotic large subunit ribosomal RNA", at positions 51 to 668 of the family's 3401-position model. The record is from RNAcentral. Lineage: Eukaryota; Fungi; Ascomycota; Pichiomycetes; Serinales; Debaryomycetaceae.